Molecule: ribosomal RNA, 447 nt
Filed under: uncultured bacterium
Lineage: Bacteria
Description: bacterial SSU rRNA
Rfam family: Bacterial small subunit ribosomal RNA
Source: RNAcentral
UGGGGAAUCUUGGACAAUGGGCGCAAGCCUGAUCCAGCCAUGCCGCGUGGAUGAUGAAGGCCUUAGGGUUGUAAAAUCCUUUCGCCGAGGACGAUAAUGACGGUACUCGGAGAAGAAGCUCCGGCUAACUUCGUGCCAGCAGCCGCGGUAAUACGAAGGGGGCUAGCGUUGUUCGGAUUUACUGGGCGUAAAGCGCAUGUAGGCGGGCCGUUAAGUUAGGGGUGAAAUCCCGAGGCUCAACCUCGGAACUGCCUCUAAAACUGGCGACCUGGACUCAAGCAGAGGCAAGUGGAAUUGCGAGUGUAGAGGUGAAAUUCGUAGAUAUUCGCAGGAACACCAGUGGCGAAGGCGACUUGCUGGGCUUGUAGUGACGCUGAGACGCGAAAGCGUGGGGAGCAAACAGGAUUAGAUACCCGGGUAGUCCCUGAGCGGGCUGGCAAGGCGCAU